AAACUUUCAACAACGGAUCUCUUGGUUCUGGCAUCGAUGAAGAACGCAGCGAAAUGCGAUAAGUAAUGUGAAUUGCAGAAUUCAGUGAAUCAUCGAAUCUUUGAACGCACAUUGCGCCCCUUGGUAUUCCGAGGGGCAUGCCUGUUCGAGCGUCAUAA
RNAcentral lists this ribosomal RNA (158 nucleotides) under Mycosphaerella sp. CBS 209.94. RNAcentral describes it as "5.8S ribosomal RNA". It matches the Rfam family "5.8S ribosomal RNA". From Rfam's summary of the family: 5.8S ribosomal RNA (5.8S rRNA) is a component of the large subunit of the eukaryotic ribosome. RNAcentral also lists the same sequence under 7 other names. The record is from RNAcentral. Lineage: Eukaryota; Fungi; Ascomycota; Dothideomycetes; Mycosphaerellales; Mycosphaerellaceae.